UAGCAUUCAGUCACUUAACGGCUGACAUCUGUUUACACCAGACGCGAGCGUCGCGUCAAAAGCAAAUAGAAUCCAUUAUAAUCUCUGACGCUGUGCAGUGUGUGGAUACAGUACACAGAUGCACGUCCAGUUUCUGACAUACUCCAGCACUUGAGUCUGCGGUCUGACACCGGGACAAAUGCAUCUCUACAGACUUCAGAAGGAUUCCAGCUUCAGGAACAGGUGGAUGGUUUAUUUAUAAUGGCGUCCCGGAUCGCGCCGGAGGAAUAUAUGUUUGUUUGGAGCAUUUGACUGCAGACUGUUUUGUAAUCGAGGCACAGUGUAAUGGAGAGUUCGCAAAGAAACUUUUGUUGAAAGCUGAAGCAACUGUAUUGGAUUUGACAGCAGCUACAUGGCAAACCAUAUACUCUGGUUAAGGCUGUGCAAAGACAUUUUGGGGGGGGGCAGGUGCUCAAGUGAAAAAAAUAAGGAGUGCAUGAGCAACAUCAUUAAACUAAAUGACAGGAAACUUCUCUUCAGGAACCUCGACCACACACAUCACGAGGGGUUGAAAUAGUCCAAAACCAUCCGGAAAGAAAAAAAAUUAUUGGCAGUUUGUUUGUCAAUCCAGGCCAUGCAUGUGCUCCAGUCCAGUUUUUGUUUGAUCCAGCACUUCUAAAUUCUCAUUGUCGAUGUCCUCAUCCUCCAAAACCAUGAACAAAACUACACGAGGUACAAAUAAAUACAACUCAGACUAAGUACGAUAAACAUGGCUUGUGUUGAUCGCAAUGUGAGGUGAAUUAUUGACUGCUGAAAGCAUGGAUCCAAAUGUUCAACUGAUGUUUAGAAACCAAACACUCCACGCACUUCUGCUGUUGUUUAUGCAUUUGUAAAAUGUUAAUUUUGCUCUCUGUCAGGUUAAAUAUUUUGCAUACAACUGGGCCUCUGUAGUUUGUGGAUAUAUAAAUAAAUUGAUAACAAAUAGGUUUAGAGAGCAUUUUCUCUGAAUUUUCUGCUUCAUACUAUAAGUGAAGUGAUGUUUCAGUGCUGUUUCUACAACCCGAAUUCUGGAAAUGUUGGGGCGUUUUUUAAAUUUGA
This is a long non-coding RNA of Ctenopharyngodon idella (grass carp), 1077 nucleotides long. RefSeq lists it as uncharacterized. The transcript is spliced from 3 exons. Lineage: Eukaryota; Metazoa; Chordata; Actinopteri; Cypriniformes; Xenocyprididae. The record is from RefSeq and is a predicted model, not a curated record.